UUCAACGUGAGAGUUUGAUCCUGGCUCAGAGCGAACGCUGGCGGCAGGCUUAACACAUGCAAGUCGAGCGGGCCCUUCGGGGUCAGCGGCGGACGGGUGAGUAACGCGUGGGAACGUGCCUUCUGGUUCGGAAUAACCCUGGGAAACUAGGGCUAAUACCGGAUACGCCCUUUUGGGGAAAGGUUUACUGCCGGAAGAUCGGCCCGCGUCU
Molecule: ribosomal RNA, 211 nt
Filed under: Methylobacterium sp. yr668
Lineage: Bacteria; Pseudomonadati; Pseudomonadota; Alphaproteobacteria; Hyphomicrobiales; Methylobacteriaceae
Description: 16S rRNA. Bacterial SSU
Rfam family: Bacterial small subunit ribosomal RNA
Source: RNAcentral